UGGGGAAUUUUGGACAAUGGGGGAAACCCUGAUCCAGCCAUCCCGCGUGUGCGAUGAAGGCCUGCGGGUUGUAAAGCACUUUUGGCAGGAAAGAAACGUCAUGGGUUAAUACCCCGUGAAACUGACGGUACCUGCAGAAUAAGCACCGGCUAACUACGUGCCAGCAGCCGCGGUAAUACGUAGGGUGCAAGCGUUAAUCGGAAUUACUGGGCGUAAAGCGUGCGCAGGCGGUUCGGAAAGAAAGAUGUGAAAUCCCAGAGCUCAACUUUGGAACUGCAUUUUUAACUACCGGGCUAGAGUGUGUCAGAGGGAGGUGGAAUUCCGCGUGUAGCAGUGAAAUGCGUAGAUAUGCGGAGGAACACCGAUGGCGAAGGCAGCCUCCUGGGAUAACACUGACGCUCAUGCACGAAAGCGUGGGGAGCAAACAGG
This 429-nucleotide ribosomal RNA is filed under the name Acidobacteriota bacterium. Its description in RNAcentral is "Acidobacteria bacterium partial 16S ribosomal RNA". It matches the Rfam family "Bacterial small subunit ribosomal RNA", at positions 355 to 776 of the family's 1533-position model. Lineage: Bacteria; Pseudomonadati; Acidobacteriota. The record is from RNAcentral.